This is a long non-coding RNA of Teleopsis dalmanni, 244 nucleotides long. RefSeq lists it as uncharacterized. The record is from RefSeq and is a predicted model, not a curated record. NCBI's taxonomy places the organism in Eukaryota, Metazoa, Arthropoda, Insecta, Diptera, Diopsidae. The transcript is spliced from 2 exons.
UUAUAAAAACAUUUUAUGUUGAUUUCAACAAGUGGCAGGAUCAAAUAAUAAUCAUCUUUAAUCGUAUUGGCAACACAAAAAAAACGGGGAAAAAUUAGCGUCUUUAGUUCUCAAAUUUGUAUUUAUUCAAAUGGUGUUGGUUUAAUAACUCUAAAAGGUGAUUUAUGAAAUUUUACACAUGAAUCUGCAGGAAUUGGAGCGCUCAAAUUUUGAGCGCGUCUUGGAAUGGUCGCAAUUUUUUGAC